RNAcentral lists this ribosomal RNA (301 nucleotides) under uncultured bacterium. RNAcentral's name for it is "partial 16S ribosomal RNA". It matches the Rfam family "Bacterial small subunit ribosomal RNA", at positions 509 to 808 of the family's 1533-position model. The record is from RNAcentral.
CAGUCGCCGCGGGAAUACAGAGGGUGCAAGCGUUAAUCGGAAUUACUGGGCGUAAAGCGCGCGUAGGUGGUUUGUUAAGUUGGAUGUGAAAUCCCCGGGCUCAACCUGGGAACUGCAUCCAAAACUGGCAAGCUAGAGUAUGGUAGAGGGUGGUGGAAUUUCCUGUGUAGCGGUGAAAUGCGUAGAUAUAGGAAGGAACACCAGUGGCGAAGGCGACCACCUGGACUGAUACUGACACUGAGGUGCGAAAGCGUGGGGAGCAAACAGGAUUAGAUACCCCGUAGUCCCUGUCUCUUAUACA